Small nuclear RNA from Monodelphis domestica (gray short-tailed opossum), 162 nucleotides. Its record names the gene U4. It matches the Rfam family "U4 spliceosomal RNA". Rfam says of the family: U4 small nuclear RNA (U4 snRNA) is a component of the major U2-dependent spliceosome. The record is from Ensembl. Lineage: Eukaryota; Metazoa; Chordata; Mammalia; Didelphimorphia; Didelphidae.
AGCUUUGCGCAGUGGCAGUAUCAUAGCCAAUGAGGUUUAUCCAAGGCAUGAUUAUUACUAAUUGAAACUCUUUAGUUUCCUCAUUUAUCAAACAGAGAGGUUGCAUAAUGAUUUUUGAGGUCCCUUUUAGCUCUAAAUGUAUGAAUCUAUGUUUCUAAAGGG